GACGAACGCUGGCGGCGUGCUAACACAUGCAAGUCGAACGGAAAGGCCCUGCUUUUGUGGGGUGCUCGAGUGGCGAACGGGUGAGUAACACGUGAGUAACCUGCCCUUGACUUUGGGAUAACUUCAGGAAACUGGGGCUAAUACCGGAUAGGAGCUCCUGCUGCAUGGUGGGGGUUGGAAAGUUUCGGCGGUUGGGGAUGGACUCGCGGCUUAUCAGCUUGUUGGUGGGGUAGUGGCUUACCAAGGCUUUGACGGGUAGCCGGCCUGAGAGGGUGACCGGCCACAUUGGGACUGAGGUACGGCCCAGACUCCUACGGGAGGCAGCAGUGGGGAAUAUUGCACAAUGGGCGGAAGCCUGAUGCAGCAACGCCGCGUGCGGGAUGACGGCCUUCGGGUUGUAAACCGCUUUCGCCUGUGACGAAGCGUGAGUGACGGUAAUGGGUAAAGAAGCACCGGCUAACUACGUG
RNAcentral lists this ribosomal RNA (467 nucleotides) under uncultured bacterium. RNAcentral's name for it is "partial 16S ribosomal RNA". It matches the Rfam family "Bacterial small subunit ribosomal RNA", at positions 28 to 507 of the family's 1533-position model. The record is from RNAcentral.